Molecule: ribosomal RNA, 253 nt
Filed under: uncultured bacterium
Lineage: Bacteria
Description: partial 16S ribosomal RNA
Rfam family: Bacterial small subunit ribosomal RNA
Source: RNAcentral
UACGUAGGGUGCGAGCGUUAAUCGGAAUUACUGGGCGUAAAGCGUGCGCAGGCGGUUUGUUAAGUCAGAUGUGAAAUACCCGAGCUUAACUUGGGUGCUGCAUUUGAAACUGGGUGUCUAGAGUGCAGGAGAGGUAAGUGGAAUUCCUAGUGUAGCGGUGGAAUGCGCAGAUAUCAGGAGGAACACCGAUGGCGAAGGCAGAUCUCUGGGCCGUAACUGACGCUGAGGAGCGAAAGCAUGGGGAGCGAACAGG